RNAcentral lists this ribosomal RNA (434 nucleotides) under uncultured bacterium. Its description in RNAcentral is "partial 16S ribosomal RNA". It matches the Rfam family "Bacterial small subunit ribosomal RNA", at positions 29 to 507 of the family's 1533-position model. The record is from RNAcentral.
AGCGAACGCUGGCGGUAGGCCUAACACAUGCAAGUCGAACGAACCUUUCGGGGUUAGUGGCGGACGGGUGUGUAACACGUGGGAACGUGCCUUUAGGUUCGGAAUAACUCAGGGAAACUUGUGCUAAUACCGAAUGUGCCCUUCGGGGGAAAGAUUUAUCGCCUUUAGAGCGGCCCGCGUCUGAUUAGCUAGUUGGUUGAGGUAAUGGCUCACCAAGGCGACGAUCAGUAGCUGGUCUGAGAGGAUGAUCAGCCACAUUGGGACUGAGACACGGCCCAAACUCCUACGGGAGGCAGCAGUGGGGAAUCUUGCGCAAUGGGCGAAAGCCUGACGCAGCCAUGCCGCGUGAAUGAUGAAGGUCUUAGGAUUGUAAAGUUCUUUCACCGGGGACGAUAAUGACGGUACCCGGAGAAGAAGCCCCGGCUAACUUCGUG